UCGUUUGAUGAAUUCAUAGUCAAACGAGGCAAACCGAGGGAACURAAACAUCUCAGUACCUCGAGRAAAGAAUCAACCGAGAUUCCCACCAGUAGCGGSGAGCRAACAGGGAGCAGCCCAGAGUCAACAUCAAUAUUUACCGCAGGAGAAAAGUCUGGAAAGGCUGGCAAUAAAGGGUGAUAGCCCCGUAUCUGAAGCGGUAAGUGUUGUGAACUCGAAGAGUAAGGCGGGACACGUGUUAUCCUGUCUGAAUAUGGGGGGACCAUCCUCCAAGGCUAAAUACUCCUGACUGACCGAUAGUGAACCAGUACCGUGAGGGAAAGGCGAAAAGAACCCCGACAAGGGGAGUGAAAUAGAACCUGAAACCGUGUACGUACAAGCAGUGGAGCACCCGAAAAGGUGUGACUGCGUACCUUUUGUAUAAUGGGUCAGCGACUUAUAUUCUGUAGCAAGGUUAACCGCCAGGGGAGCCGUAGAGAAACCRAGUCUUAACUGGGCGUUAAGUUGCWGGGUAUAGACCCGAAACCCGGGAAUCUACCCUGGGSMRGGUUGAARKUUGGGUA
This 563-nucleotide ribosomal RNA is filed under the name uncultured Arsenophonus sp. RNAcentral describes it as "LSU rRNA". It matches the Rfam family "Bacterial large subunit ribosomal RNA", at positions 150 to 759 of the family's 2925-position model. Lineage: Bacteria; Pseudomonadati; Pseudomonadota; Gammaproteobacteria; Enterobacterales; Morganellaceae. The record is from RNAcentral.